RNAcentral lists this ribosomal RNA (481 nucleotides) under uncultured Pseudomonas sp. Its description in RNAcentral is "bacterial SSU rRNA". It matches the Rfam family "Bacterial small subunit ribosomal RNA", at positions 30 to 506 of the family's 1533-position model. Lineage: Bacteria; Pseudomonadati; Pseudomonadota; Gammaproteobacteria; Pseudomonadales; Pseudomonadaceae. The record is from RNAcentral.
UGAACGCUGGCGGCAGGCCUAACACAUGCAAGUCGAGCGGAUGACAGGAGCUUGCUCCUGAAUUCAGCGGCGGACGGGUGAGUAAUGCCUAGGAAUCUGCCUGGUAGUGGGGGACAACGUUUCGAAAGGAACGCUAAUACCGCAUACGUCCUACGGGAGAAAGCAGGGGACCUUCGGGCCUUGCGCUAUCAGAUGAGCCUAGGUCGGAUUAGCUAGUUGGUGAGGUAAUGGCUCACCAAGGCGACGAUCCGUAACUGGUCUGAGAGGAUGAUCAGUCACACUGGAACUGAGACACGGUCCAGACUCCUACGGGAGGCAGCAGUGGGGAAUAUUGGACAAUGGGCGAAAGCCUGAUCCAGCCAUGCCGCGUGUGUGAAGAAGGUCUUCGGAUUGUAAAGCACUUUAAGUUGGGAGGAAGGGCAUUAACCUAAUACGUUAGUGUUUUGACGUUACCGACAGAAUAAGCACCGGCUAACUCUGU